AAGUUGUUGCGGUUAAAAGCUCGUAGUUCGAGCUCAGUUCCGGACUGGCCGGGGAGGUCACCGCCCGGUGCUUCCCCGUCAGGCUCCGAACAGCCUUCGUGAGCGGAGGCCAAGCCGGUUCUGCCGGGGUGCUCUUUACCGAGUGUCCCGCGCGGCCGGCCAGUUCACCUUGAAUAAAUGAGAGUGCUCAAAGCAGGCUACUCUCGAAUACAAUGCCCGAAUGUUACCUGCAUGGAAUGAUGGAAGAUGAUCUCGGUUCCAUUUUAUUGGUGGUGGGAGCCCGAGGUAAUGAUAAACAGGGACUGUCGGGGGCAUCCGUACUACGACGCGAGAGGUGAAAUUCAGUGACCGUCGUAGGACGAACAACAGCGAAAGCAUUUGCCAAGAAUGUCUUCGUUGAUCAAGAACGAAAGUUAGAGGAUCGAAGGCGAUCAGAUACCGCCCUAGUUCUAACCCUAAACGAUGCUGACUAGCAAUUCGCCGUCGUUAUUCCCAUGACGUGGCGAGACGCCCCCGGGAAACCUCAAGUCUUUGAGUUCCGGGGGUAGUAUGGUUGCAAAACUGAAACUUAAAGGAAUUGACGGAAGGGCACCACCAGGAGUGGAGCCUGCGGCUUAAUUUGACUCAACACGGGAAACCUCACCAGGCCCGGACACCAGAAGGAUUGACAGAUUAAGAGCUCUUUCUCGAUUUGGUGGGUGGUGGUGCAUGGCCGUUCUUAGUUGGUGGAGUGAUUUGUCUGGUUAAUUCCGGUAACGAACGAGACUCUGGCCUACUAAAUAGUCGACGGGCGUUUUGGUGCAUGGGCCCCGUUCGACACAGUCUUCUUAGAGGGAUGAGCAGCGAGUAUAGCUGCAGGAGAUUGAGCAAUAACAGGUCUGUGAUGCCCUUAGAUGUCCUGGGCCGCACGCGCGCUACACUGAAUGGGUUAGCGGGUUGUCCUUCUCCGAGAGGAGCGGGAAAUCGCUUGAAAACCAUUCGUGAUAGGGAUUGGGGCUUGCAAUUGUUUCCCAUGAACGAGGAAUUCCCAGUAAGCGCAAGUCAUCAGCUUGCGUUGAUUAAGUCCCUGCCCUUUGUACACACCGCCCGUCGCUACUACCGAUUGAAUGAUUUAGUGAGGCCUUCGGACUGGCGGUCUUGGACUGGGGCGCCGGCGUUCUCCAGCAAUGGGGUGCCGGCGACCCGCCUAGACGGGCCGGAAAGAUGUCCAAACUUGAUCAUUUAGAGGAAGUAAAAGUCGUAACAAGGUUUCC
RNAcentral lists this ribosomal RNA (1253 nucleotides) under Palaemonella rotumana. RNAcentral describes it as "SSU rRNA". It matches the Rfam family "Eukaryotic small subunit ribosomal RNA", at positions 607 to 1804 of the family's 1831-position model. Lineage: Eukaryota; Metazoa; Arthropoda; Malacostraca; Decapoda; Palaemonidae. RNAcentral also lists the same sequence under 3 other names. The record is from RNAcentral.